This 497-nucleotide ribosomal RNA is filed under the name uncultured bacterium. Its description in RNAcentral is "partial 16S ribosomal RNA". It matches the Rfam family "Bacterial small subunit ribosomal RNA", at positions 28 to 507 of the family's 1533-position model. The record is from RNAcentral.
GAUGAACGCUGGCGGCGUGCCUAAUACAUGCAAGUCGAGCGAACGGACGAGAAGCUUGCUUCUCUGAUGUUAGCGGCGGACGGGUGAGUAACACGUGGAUAACCUACCUAUAAGACUGGGAUAACUUCGGGAAGCCGUAGCUAAUACCGGAUAAUAUUUUGAACCGCAUGGUUCAAAAGUGAAAGACGGUCUUGCUGUCACUUAUAGAUGGAUCCGCGCUGCAUUAGCUAGUUGGUAAGGUAACGGCUUACCAAGGCAUCGAUGCAUAGCCGACCUGAGAGGGUGAUCGGCCACACUGGAACUGAGACACGGUCCAGACUCCUACGGGAGGCAGCAGUAGGGAAUCUUCCGCAAUGGGCGAAAGCCUGACGGGGCAACGCCGCGUGAGUGAUGAAGGUCUUCGGAUCGUAAAACUCUGUUAUUAGGGAAGAACAUAUGUGUAAGUAACUGUGCACAUCUUGACGGUACCUAAUCAGAAAGCCACGGCUAACUACGUG